This 425-nucleotide ribosomal RNA is filed under the name bacterium. Its description in RNAcentral is "partial 16S ribosomal RNA". It matches the Rfam family "Bacterial small subunit ribosomal RNA", at positions 355 to 776 of the family's 1533-position model. The record is from RNAcentral.
UGGGGAAUAUUGCACAAUGGGCGCAAGCCUGAUGCAGCGACGCCGCGUGAGGGAUGGAGGCCUUCGGGUUGUAAACCUCUUUCGCCAGUGAAGCAGGCCAUCUUCUUUGUGGGGUGGUUGACGGUAGCUGGAUAAGAAGCGCCGGCUAACUACGUGCCAGCAGCCGCGGUAGUACGUAGGGCGCGAGCGUUGUCCGGAAUUAUUGGGCGUAAAGAGCUCGUAGGCGGCUGGUCGCGUCUGUCGUGAAAUCCCCUGGCUUAACUGGGGGCUUGCGGUGGGUACGGGCCGGCUUGAGUGCGGUAGGGGAGACUGGUAUUCCUGGUGUAGCGGUGGAAUGCGCAGAUAUCAGGAGGAGCACCGGUGGCGAAGGCGGGUCUCUGGGCCGUUACUGACGCUGAGGAGCGAAAGCGUGGGGAGCGAACAGG